UGACAUAAGUAACGAUAAAGCGGGUGAAAAGCCCGCUCGCCGGAAGACCAAGGGUUCCUGUCCAACGUUAAUCGGGGCAGGGUGAGUCGACCCCUAAGGCGAGGCCGAAAGGCGUAGUCGAUGGGAAACGGGUUAAUAUUCCCGUACUUGGUGUUACUGCGAAGGGGGGACGGAGAAGGCUAUGUUGGCCGGGCGACGGUUGUCCCGGUUUAAGCGUGUAGGUAUGUGUUCCAGGUAAAUCCGGUUCACUUUAACACUGAGGCGUGACGACGAGGCACUACGGUGCUGAAGCAACAAAUGCCCUGCUUCCAGGAAAAGCCUCUAAGCAUCAGGUAACAUCAAAUCGUACCCCAAACCGACACAGGUGGUCAGGUAGAGAAUACCAAGGCGCUUGAGAGAACUCGGGUGAAGGAACUAGGCAAAAUGGUGCCGUAACUUCGGGAGAAGGCACGCUGACACGUAGGUGAAGUGAUUUACUCACGGAGCUGAAGUCAGCCGAAGAUACCAGCUGGCUGCAACUGUUUAUUAAAAACACAGCACUGUGCAAACACGAAAGUGGACGUAUACGGUGUGACGCCUGCCCGGUGCCGGAAGGUUAAUUGAUGGGGUCAGCGCAAGCGAAGCUCCUGAUCGAAGCCCCGGUAAACGGCGGCCGUAACUAUAACGGUCCUAAGGUAGCGAAAUUCCUUGUCGGGUAAGUUCCGACCUGCACGAAUGGCGUAAUGAUGGCCAGGCUGUCUCCACCCGAGACUCAGUGAAAUUGAACUCGCUGUGAAGAUGCAGUGUACCCGCGGCAAGACGGAAAGACCCCGUGAACCUUUACUAUAGCUUGACACUGAACAUUGAGCCUUGAUGUGUAGGAUAGGUGGGAGGCUUUGAAGUGUGGACGCCAGUCUGCAUGGAGCCGACCUUGAAAUACCACCCUUUAAUGUUUGAUGUUCUAACGUGGACCCGUGAUCCGGGUUGCGGACAGUGUCUGGUGGGUAGUUUGACUGGGGCGGUCUCCUCCUAAAGAGUAACGGAGGAGCACGAAGGUUGGCUAAUCCUGGUCGGACAUCAGGAGGUUAGUGCAAUGGCAUAAGCCAGCUUGACUGCGAGCGUGACGGCGCGAGCAGGUGCGAAAGCAGGUCAUAGUGAUCCGGUGGUUCUGAAUGGAAGGGCCAUCGCUCAACGGAUAAAAGGUACUCCGGGGAUAACAGGCUGAUACCGCCCAAGAGUUCAUAUCGACGGCGGUGUUUGGCACCUCGAUGUCGGCUCAUCACAUCCUGGGGCUGAAGUAGGUCCCAAGGGUAUGGCUGUUCGCCAUUUAAAGUGGUACGCGAGCUGGGUUUAGAACGUCGUGAGACAGUUCGGUCCCUAUCUGCCGUGGGCGCUGGAGAACUGAGGGGGGCUGCUCCUAGUACGAGAGGACCGGAGUGGACGCAUCACUGGUGUUCGGGUUGUCAUGCCAAUGGCACUGCCCGGUAGCUAAAUGCGGAAGAGAUAAGUGCUGAAAGCAUCUAAGCACGAAACUUGCCCCGAGAUGAGUUCUCCCUGAGACUUUAGGUCUCCUGAAGGAACGUUGAAGACGACGACGUUGAUAGGCCGGGUGUGUAAGCGCAGCGAUGCGUUGAGCUAACCGGUACUAAUGAACCGUGAGGCUUAACCUUACAACGCCGAAG
Molecule: ribosomal RNA, 1661 nt
Filed under: Salmonella enterica
Lineage: Bacteria; Pseudomonadati; Pseudomonadota; Gammaproteobacteria; Enterobacterales; Enterobacteriaceae
Description: partial 23S ribosomal RNA
Rfam family: Bacterial large subunit ribosomal RNA
Source: RNAcentral